RNAcentral lists this ribosomal RNA (301 nucleotides) under uncultured bacterium. RNAcentral describes it as "partial 16S ribosomal RNA". It matches the Rfam family "Bacterial small subunit ribosomal RNA", at positions 509 to 807 of the family's 1533-position model. The record is from RNAcentral.
CAGUAGCCGCGGGAAUACGAAGGGGGCUAGCGUUGCUCGGAAUGACUGGGCGUAAAGGGCGCGUAGGCGGUUUUGACAGUCAGAUGUGAAAUUCCUGGGCUUAACCUGGGGGCUGCAUUUGAGACGUCAAGACUAGAGUGUGUGAGAGGGUUGUGGAAUUCCCAGUGUAGAGGUGAAAUUCGUAGAUAUUGGGAAGAACACCAGUGGCGAAGGCGGCUCACUGGUCCAUUACUGACGCUGAGGUGCGAAAGCGUGGGGAGCAAACAGGAUUAGAUACCCGUGUAGUCCCUGUCUCUUAUAC